AACAAGUAACCCUCUGUAAAGAGUUUAGUUUGUUUCUUAGAAGAUAAAGGGAUACUAGCAAGUAACCCACGAGUGGUAGGGAGCAAGAUGGCAGCCUCGUUACAAGCCGCAGCUACACUGAUGCAACCCACCAAGGUGGGUGUGGUACCCGCUCGCAGCAGCAGCCUGCAGCUGAGGUCUUCACAGAGCGUUUCGAAGGCUUUUGGUGUCGACUCAGCUGGUGCUAGGAUCUCUUGCACUUUGAAUAAUGACUUGAAGGAUUUGGCUCAGAAAUGUGUUGAUGCUACCAAGAUCGCUGGCUUUGCCCUCGCCACUUCUGCUCUCGUCGUUUCGGUCUGUCUAUCAUCUCUUACUAUGUUUUCCUUUUGCUUCUAUUUACUACUAUCGAUUAUUAUUUUUUUAGUACAUAUGUGACAGCAUAAUGAUUUUGUAACAUGUGUUGUAUUAUUUCUUGGUAUGUUUAGUUUCGAUUUUCACUUGUCAACGCAAAAGUGUACUAAAUGCUCCUAGUCAUUAAUUUAUCCCCAUCAUGUUGUUCUGUUCUGAAUUAUGCCGAUACACUACUAUAAAUAUUUGGAGACGGGUUGUGGCUCUUUUCAAUUGACGGAGAAGGCAACAAUUAUCAGGCGCCAAUAAAUGUUCUCUCACUCUCAGAGUUUAGGCCGUCAACAGACCAAAUUUCAAUUUUAAUUUGUUAUAAUUGCUGUUACUAUAACUAAAUCAUCGAAGAAUUAGUUUAAAGAUAGUGAAAAUGUUGUUGGGAAAGGACUUUAUGAUCUGACAUUGUUGAAUAAUUGCUUGUUUCCUCAGGGAGCAAGUGCUGAAGGUGUUCCAAAGAGGCUAACCUAUGAUGAAAUCCAGAGCAAGACAUACAUGGAAGUAAAGGGAACCGGAACUGCUAACCAGUGCCCAACCAUUGAUGGCGGAGUUGACUCUUUUGCCUUCAAACCUGGCAAAUACCAGGCUAAGAAGUUCUGCCUAGAACCAACUUCCUUCACUGUCAAGGCUGAGAGUGUCAACAAGAAUGCCCCACCAGAUUUCCAGAACACCAAGCUCAUGACCCGCCUUACCUACACCCUUGACGAGAUUGAGGGACCUUUUGAAGUGUCCCCCGAUGGCACCAUUAAGUUUGUGGAGAAGGAUGGAAUUGACUAUGCUGCUGUGACAGUUCAGCUGCCUGGAGGCGAGCGUGUGCCCUUCCUUUUCACCAUCAAACAAUUGGUAGCAUCAGGCAAGCCUGAGAAUUUCGGAGGAGAGUUCCUUGUACCAUCAUACCGUGGAUCAUC
This 1286-nucleotide long non-coding RNA is filed under the name Citrus sinensis (sweet orange). Its description in RNAcentral is "long non-coding RNA (CSIN_LNC000430)". Lineage: Eukaryota; Viridiplantae; Streptophyta; Magnoliopsida; Sapindales; Rutaceae. The record is from RNAcentral.